GGAGUAGUGAGAGCAACGGAGCUGACAAGAAGGCGUGGGUGUCAUUAUGUCUCUUCCAACUUUGUUCCUGCCCACAGCUGUGGACUGGAUGCCCUUCCUCAGCUGGGCAGGGCCGAGAGUAUAUGGAAGAGUGGUACGCGUCUUCUUCUGCCCAAACCGGUGACUUUGCGAACCCACCUGAAGGGCCUCACUAUUGUUUAUACAAAUCCACAAAGACAAAAGAAAAACAAAAACUAGCACUGACUUCGUACUUUAUUCUUUUGUCAUGGAGUCAAAAUGCUUGCCUUUUUCAAAAAGCAGCAUGAGGACUGUGUCUUAAGGAACAGUGAAGAUACUCCUUUUUUUUUCGAAUUCUCCAUAUUUUACUCUGCAAGAGAAAUGAAGGGGAAAAUAUAUGUUGUGUUACAAGAUGAAGAACUCAAACUUGUCAUGAAGUUGGUGGAAAAUACAACAUCUGUUUCCGUGCUCUGGCCAUCCCUCAGUUACCACAACACCUUCCUAUUGCAGUUCUUUGACUAGCAAAGAGAAGCUUGAGAACCAAGAAGAAUACUUUCUUGUCCAAUUAGAAGCAAAAAUUUCGAUGAAUUCCAUCCCAUAGUAACAAAUUCAAUUAUUUACUCAUGGAUUCACUUAAGAAUUCUUUCUGGGACACAUCCCAAGUCCCAGGUACUGGAUUAUCUGCUGUGGAGAAUCAGGGCUAACUGAGACAUUGUCGCUGGACUUGUGGAGCCCAUAAUCUGGUGAGGAGGGCAAGAUGUGUACACCAGCACUGUGGAUACAGGGCAGAGAGAGCAAUAAACAAGAUAUUGGCUAGGUGCUUUGGGGAGCAGAGAAGAAGAAGCCAGAUCUGGGAAUCAUAAGGAAAAGCUUUGUCUAAAUAUACAAAAUCCAAGAAGUCAAGACAUUAGGUGCUAGAACUCUUCCAGGAACAAUUUCAUCCCCCUAUGUUGGAGAGGACACGGCCGAGAACGAGCAUCUGGGCAUUCUGACCAGAAGAAUGUCCACAGUCAUUGCCACAUUACCAAACAGAAUAGAGCGGUGGAUCUCAAGGCCCCUGGAGUAGGGAUAGAAGGUCAGAAUUGGAGAGCAUGCUCCAGAGAGAAUCUACUAGAAGACCAACCCAGCCAUCUGUAAGCCACUUGAGAAAUAGUCAAACUAGACAGCUUUGAAAAGACACAUUCUCAGCUGCUCAAGCAGGCAGGCAGACCAGCCUCAGCUGACUCUGGGAGACAAAUCAGUCACAGAUGCAUUCUGACAUUCCAGGUGCAUUUUGGUCAGAGGAGUAACCUGUCACUUGACACAGUUGAGGUUGAGGCAUAGCAACUAGCACUUUCUCUUUACUGGAGCUGAUGCAGCACCCAAGCCAAAGUGCUCCCCUUCUCUGCAUGUGCCUGGGAGACACCCAAAUCACUGUAUUGCCUAAAUCUCAGACCUCUCAGAUAAUGUUGGGUGCCUCUCAGGGCCAAGACUAGGAUGAAGCCAGUGAGGCACAUUGGAUGCAAAAUACAGGAUGCUUACUGCCAGGUGCCCAUCCUACACCCUGAGAGAGUGCUUCCUUAAAUCCACCUUUCCCCAAAGAGUGGUGUCCAAAUUCUAAGAAGAGGAAGGGCUUCAACAAUUCUAGGACAGGUAGAUAUUUGCCGUCAGAGGGAAGUGUAGGGCAAUGAGUAGUCUCGUCAAUUUCCCAAGGAUCUAUGAUUAAAAUUUCCCAUUGACUGAGUACCAAGGGCCAUAGUAUUCCUAACGCCUAGUCUAAAUAGGGCUCUUCUGAUUUCUUUUUUUAAAGGAAAGAUUUAAUUCAUCCUUUAAUUUACCACCUUCCAUGAGCCCCCUUCACAUCUCCCUAACUGAAAAUGUAGUUCACAGCUCCUUCUUGCUCCAUUCAUUCAAAGCAGAGAUUCAAAAUAUAUUCAAAAUGUGGGCCCUUCCCUCAGUGAUUCAUCACCAACAGCAAUUCACACCAUCAGAGAUUCACUCCGAGAAAAAGUUUCCAUGUAGGAUAUUUUUCUGAUUCUGUUGUUGUAACACCUGAGUCCUGCCAAGGAGUGCCAACUCUCAUGUUCAAACACUAUUUUAGGAUUAGUGUACAUUUACCACAAUGCCCUCUGGCUCACUCUCCUGAAUGAGGCUUGAAAUUGGCAAUCAUUUUUAUAAACAGAGCAAUAACCACAAAAUAUCCAACAAAUUAAAUAUAUGGUUUAACAACUACAUAAUCCAGGGAGAAAACAUAAACAUUAUUAUUUUCAUAAUACAUCUGAUUUUAUUUGUGAUCCAAUUUGCUUUAGCUUCAUUAUUUUCCUUAAAAAAAAUAAGGCUAGUAUUACCAUAAAUUUGUAUCCAUAUUUCUCUCUCAUUAAAUUCUUUUUCUUCUCUCUUCCUUCACACUAAAAAAAAAAUCCUAUUUGGGAAAGAGGAAAAAAAAUGAGAAAAUUGUUUAUAAGGCCAGAAAGAUAUAUUUCCUUUAUAUAGCACCACUACUUCAAAAGAAAUGGGUAGAUUUUCCUCAAAGGACAAGAGAAAAAGAACUAAAUAUGUUAUAUUUCACAGAACCACACAUUUUUAGAUACAAGAUGAAUUACACCUGAGACAGAGCACAUUCCUUCCUUAACAUGUAAGUCAGAGAUUCUCACAAAACCUUUUUAAUAUAGCAGAGGAUGAACCCUGUGGCAAGAAGUCCCUCCAACCAGGCUUCCAAGCAGAGGCCAUUUUCCAGUAAACCUGCAGGCAACCCAGCAGACUCAGAAUUUAAAUGAAAAGCUCCAACAGCACAGAAAUGUGGGCCCUUCCCUCAGUGAUUCAUCACCAUCAGCAAUCAGGCAACUGUGUCCAGAGUCUGAGCAUAAAUUACUUCAUCACGGUCGACUGAAAGACCAUUGAGGUCUGAAUGCAAUUGAAGAACAAUUAGUUUACCUGUCACUUAAGAUGAACUUCAGGAUAUUUUAUACAGUUAAGAGCAAGAAGACAGAGGGGUAAUAAAAUAUUACAGUUUAUCCAACUAUAAUUUUAAGAGGAAUCUUCAAAUAUCUAAAGAAAUUUUUAGAUUUCUGAGACUGUUAAUCCUAUUCAAUAUGAAUAUGUUAAUAACAUACAUACAUCUCUAUGGAGAUAAGUAGAAGUUUGAG
This is a long non-coding RNA of Zalophus californianus (California sea lion), 3122 nucleotides long. The record is from Ensembl. Lineage: Eukaryota; Metazoa; Chordata; Mammalia; Carnivora; Otariidae.